GCCAGGCGUGGUGGCGCCUGCCUGGAAUCCCAGCUACUUGGGCUGAUUCAGGAGAAUUGCUUGAACCCAGGAGGCAGAGGUUGCGGUGAGCUGAGAUUGCCAUUGCACGCCAGCCUGGGCAACAAGAGCGAAACUCCAUCUCAAAAGAAAAAAAAAAAAGAAUUGUUCAUUCUCCCAGGAGUUGAGGAACAGCAGGUUACCUAAGGAGGGGUGAAGGGAGGUCUCCAGGUCAGAAAUGGAGCAGGUCAAAACUCCCAUGCUCAUCAGUAGUGUGAUUGUGCCUGUGAAUAACCACUGCUGUCCAGCAUUGGCAACAUAGUGAGACCCUAUCUCU
RNAcentral lists this signal recognition particle RNA (334 nucleotides) under Rhinopithecus bieti (black snub-nosed monkey). Its description in RNAcentral is "Metazoan signal recognition particle RNA (ENSRBIG00000007050.1)". It matches the Rfam family "Metazoan signal recognition particle RNA". Rfam says of the family: The signal recognition particle (SRP) is a universally conserved ribonucleoprotein. It is involved in the co-translational targeting of proteins to membranes. Lineage: Eukaryota; Metazoa; Chordata; Mammalia; Primates; Cercopithecidae. The record is from RNAcentral.